Molecule: ribosomal RNA, 491 nt
Filed under: uncultured bacterium
Lineage: Bacteria
Description: partial 16S ribosomal RNA
Rfam family: Bacterial small subunit ribosomal RNA
Source: RNAcentral
AUGCACGCUAGCUACAGGCUUAACACAUGCAAGUCGAGGGGAAACGACAUCGAAAGCUUGCUUUUGAUGGGCGUCGACCGGCGCACGGGUGAGUAACGCGUAUCCAACCUGCCCACCACUUGGGGAUAACCUUGCGAAAGUAAGACUAAUACCCAAUGACGUCUCUAGAAGACAUCUGAAAGAGAUUAAAGAUUUAUCGGUGAUGGAUGGGGAUGCGUCUGAUUAGCUUGUUGGCGGGGUAACGGCCCACCAAGGCGACGAUCAGUAGGGGUUCUGAGAGGAAGGUCCCCCACAUUGGAACUGAGACACGGUCCAAACUCCUACGGGAGGCAGCAGUGAGGAAUAUUGGUCAAUGGACGAGAGUCUGAACCAGCCAAGUAGCGUGCAGGAUGACGGCCCUAUGGGUUGUAAACUGCUUUUAUAAGGGAAUAAAGUGAGUCUCGUGAGACUUUUUGCAUGUACCUUAUGAAUAAGGACCGGCUAAUUCCGUG